CAAGAGCGUAUAUUAAAGUUGUUGCAGUUAAAAAGCUCGUAGUUGGAUUUCUGGUACAAUGCGCCUGGCCCGCGACCGUUAGGUCUGUGAGUGCCGGUGCGCGUUUGCCAUCCUUCUAGAAAACGUUUCUACCCUUCACUGGGCCGGACUCGCGAUCUAGAUCUUUUACUUUGAAAAAAUUAGAGUGUUUAAAGCAGGCUUUUGCUGUGAAUACAUUAGCAUGGAAUAAUAAUCUAGGACUUCGGUUCUAUUUUGUUGGUUUCUAGUACUGAAGUAAUGAUUGAUAGGGAUAGUUGGGGGUGCUAGUAUUGGCCGGCCAGAGGUGAAAUUCUUGGAUUCGUUGAAGACGAACUUAUGCGAAAGCAUUCACCAAGGAUGUCUUCUUUAA
RNAcentral lists this ribosomal RNA (388 nucleotides) under uncultured eukaryote. RNAcentral describes it as "partial 18S ribosomal RNA". It matches the Rfam family "Eukaryotic small subunit ribosomal RNA", at positions 592 to 976 of the family's 1831-position model. The record is from RNAcentral.